GGUCAACACGUCAUCAGAGAAGAGGUGUUGUUGCAAGAGGGAGGGUACAUGAAUUUAAAAAAAGGAUGUGCUGGAUUAAUAAUAUAUAAUAAAUACGUCAAUAUUCCAUAAAAAAAAUAAGAAUUGUCCAUUUUGAUUUCAUGUUGACUAACAGCACUUGGACUUUCUGCAGAUUUCAUCGUUUUGCCAGUAGGUGGCGAUAAUGGACCGAGUCACUGAAUCACUCACUCAAACGAUUCAUUCGAAACACUGGUUCAUUCAGGAAUAUUCGCGCGACGGUUGAUUUUGACCUUAUUUUUGCAAAAUGGCAAAACUCUGUCUAGAAUGAAUUAUAGACCUCAUUAAGCUGCAGGUGUAGCAGUCUGGCUGGAGAGGGACUUUGGGAGACACUCGUCUGUACAGAUACACGGCAUAGCAAGCUGCAGCUUCAGAGCCCCUGGUCCCCAUCCACUCUCACUGUAUGGAAGAGAGCAGCUCGGAGCAUCUGCUAAAUGUCUCCUAUUGUGUUCUACAGAAGAAGGUAAGAACAGCUUUAUGAGGAGAUUAGAACAUGGCCCGGCCCUCUGAAAGAGAAUUCAUCACUUAAAAACACUGGAAACCUGACACACUUAGAGUUGGAGCGCUGGCCCUAAAUGAAGCUAAUGAAUCCUACAUUUCCUCACACACCUGAACUUGUAUUCCCUCUCGACUGGCAUUGUAUAUAAAAGGGAAGGCAGGGCAAAAACUAAACAGCCCAAGUUUCUGAACACUCCCUCUGAUCAACCAUUUAUCAUCCACCAGUAAUUAACCCACUGCGUUUUUCUGUGCUCUUGGCAUUAAAAAGAAGUAAACAGAUAUUUAAAUGUGCGAGAAAGAUUUGCCAGAAUGUGUAACCUGUAUCUGAGGGGUAUGUGAAUCCGGAUGAAAGAAAAGGAGGUUGAAAAAGAUCCAAAUGAAUGACAGGAACAGCACUCUCUGAAACACAGCACCUCUGAGCAGAGGAGGGCGAGAAGAGGUGAUGGGGAGAUGAAGCGGAGGUUUAACGUUUACAUGGCAAUAAUUAAAAAUAUACAUAGUGGAAAGAGAAGGAAACGGGUGAUGUGUGCGACCUUGUGUGGUUUACGAAGAUAGAUAUAGUCGGAGGACAAAAUUGUCCCCAGAAAUGACCUAAAUUUGACAAAUAUCCCUCUGGAGACACCCUAAACAGUAAAAUUAAUUAAUAAAUGAAUUUAAAUGUAAAUAAAGAAAUACAUUUACAUAAAUACAUUUCAAUUUAAAUAAAUAAAAACAUUUAUAAAUUUGAAUGUAAAAAGUCUUUUUUAAAUGUGUCUAUAAGUCGUCUCUGUCUUCAUUUAGAUAAACAUAUAAAUUUGCUGAUGUACAGCUCACAUGUAAUAAUACACAAUAAUGGCUAGGUAAAAAACCUUAUCAGGCCUCAUCAACCUGUGUUAAACAGAGUCUUACAAAAGCCCAAUCUGAACACUGCUUUCUUCUUUAUGUCAUAGUUCUUUAUAUCAUAAACAACGUUUUAACAUUCAAUUUCAAUUUUCUUUGGACUAUGCUGAGGUGCCGAGGCAUUUCCUUUGUGCGUACGCGUCUGUGUAUGCACGUGCGUGUGCAGAUCGCUUUGUGGCCGUGACAAUGGGCCAGGGAACAGACGGUGAGAGUGUGUGUAUGUCAUCGGCGACUGCCGUAGACUGGCGGAGUGUGUCAGAUCCAGCCUAAAAUGACUAGCAGCUGGGGGUGACAGUUGUUUUAACAGCUGAGCUGACAGGAUUAAUUCAAAUGCACUGAAAUCAAAAAGUGGAGAACACCUGUUCAGUCUUCCAGCGGUCCCCACGUCCAGGCAGGGGAUCAGGCUCGGGCGUGCAGCCAGGCUAGAGCUCUCUCUCCUGGAAAAGUAUGGUGGGUGCACCGCCACCAUGGGACAGGAGAAGGGGCGUAGGGAGGGGGAAAAAAAAUGAAAACAGUGGCGGAAUAGGAAGGAGUCCAAGAGCAAAGGAAGGCAGAGAGAGACACACUUGAAGGGAAAGAGGGAGGACUGGGAUCCGCCUAGCUUGUUUCUGAACAUCUGGCUCAAAUAAAAGGCCUAUUUUCUGGCAGGCCGAAGGGUGCUGACCUAGGGCCGCUCAGCAGAGACAGAUUGCUUCAUUUCAAAGUGUGAUGCCUGACCACAGGACUGCUGGGGUUAAUUCUGAGGCUCCCCCUCAUGUUCAAAGACCCCCUGCCGGAGCUUCAUUCACUUACUGGUGUCCACUACCGGCCUUCAGUCUCAUACACUCAAGACGAGGAAGUGGAGCAUCUGUGUAGUAUGGAGUGUGUAGUAUGUGAUGGAGAGUCAUUAAUAGACUGUGUUGUGUUUACAAUCCCCAGGGGAAGAUCUUAGUUUGUCAUCACAUUAAAUUCGGCAUGAAAUGGAAUUCAUCCUAUCUGUUAUCAAAAUGCAUGUUGAUCUUAUUUUGAAUUAUUCAUCUGUGCAUAUCAUUUUUAAUUUUUUUUUUUUUUAAAUCAAAAUGUCAUAACUUGAUCUUCCGAUGCUGUAUGCUGGUUUCCUCCAAUCAUUUAGUCAGCUUAAACCCCCGCAACUUUCUUACAAUCAAUCGCAAGAACUUUUGAUGCACAGGACCAUGUUCCCAUCCUACAUUUUUUCUCCAUUUCACUUGAAAGGAUGCAUGUCACAAUACAGACCGCUAGGUUGUGAGUUUACGGCCUGAAACACAGUAUACUCAAGCACAUGAAAGCAAAUGCUUCUGGCUGUGCAAGCUAGGUUGCACAAUAUUUGAACUUUUUUGCAAUUGACAAUACAAUGCAAAUGCAUUCUUAGCAUCACCACCAGGGGUGCAAUAGCGAGCAAGGUUGACUACUGUCAGGUGGAGCAGCAGUUUGAAGAGAAUUUUACUAUGUUAGCCAAACUGUUAGCAUUUUUAGCUAGCUACCUGGACAUAAUGCAUGAUAUUUAAAAAAAAAAAAUGCUGCUAAAUCUUAAGAUUGCAUUUGUCAUGUGGUAUUUGCCUACACAUACUAACUCCUAACCCUAACUUAAAACCUAAGUAUAGUACUGGUAGCACAUUCUGAUAUAUAACUUUACGGUUUGUCGUGAUCAGAUCCAUUCAUAUUUCUGAACUCUGAACUAAAGUCUGCACUUUUCUUGACAAGUGACUGCAUGAUUGAUUUAACCAGUGGAAUUGACUUGACAUGGGAUUUGGGGUUUGGGGAAAACAAUACCGUCUGCAAAUAUAACACUUCCAGUUUAAUGAGAAAGUCAUUUGAAAGUAACUAUCACCUCCUUGCGCACUGUGAAAGUGUACGCAACAGGACUGUGCACUUGCAAUGCAUUAGCCAAUGAAGUUUGCAUACUUGUUUCUGGCCUAAAGUCAAACUUCUACAGAAAAAUGUCCUGACUUGUGUGUGUUUACCUUUACCAAAGACUUUUUUGUGAGUGUGUGUUUGUACGUGCUCGACAUGUUGUGUGCGGGUGAGCAGCCUCUGACAUUUGGCCUGUGCACAUCCACUGUUUGUUCUAAUCUACUCCAACCCAAGCAAAUACACCUAAAUCUGCUUUGUAAUUUACUUUACAUAUCCCUUUUUAACCCUGUUGAGCCUCAAGUGAGUGUGUAUAUGUGUGUUAGAAAAGAAGUGAAUGGAUUUAGAUUUAGAUUUACAGGGGCGUGUAAUGGAUAUGAGGAAGGGAUUUGCAAGCCAUGUGAAAGGCCUCUAACGCCACAUCAAAAUAACCAACAACCACUGACCCCCAAUUACCCAUAAUGCAACAGCACGCCAGAGCCUAGCGGUUCAACCAUACGCACAUGCCUGCUAUUGCCAUAUUUCCUCUUGCCUUGAUUCCCUUUUCAGAAAUCACACACACACAGUGUUUCAAAAAGCCACCAGUGCAAUUGGGAAAAAGUGCUGUGAUGGAGAUUCAGAAAGCUCUCUAUCUACUAAAGCAUGAUCAAAGA
Molecule: long non-coding RNA, 3935 nt
Organism: Megalobrama amblycephala (Wuchang bream)
Lineage: Eukaryota; Metazoa; Chordata; Actinopteri; Cypriniformes; Xenocyprididae
Exons: 4
Source: RefSeq, a predicted model, not a curated record